GUAUGGAAGCAUCAAGCCGCUGCUAUCUUCGAUGGCCUCACGCCCUGCUUGGCUGAUCUGGUUCGUACCAUCAAGGAUGAGGCGCGCUGCUGGGCCGCGGCUGGCGCCACGGGACUUAGCUCGAUCAUGCCAACCCAAGCUUUCUUUGGUCGAUAA
RNAcentral lists this ribosomal RNA (156 nucleotides) under Triticum aestivum (bread wheat). RNAcentral describes it as "partial small subunit ribosomal RNA". The record is from RNAcentral. Lineage: Eukaryota; Viridiplantae; Streptophyta; Magnoliopsida; Poales; Poaceae.